GUUGAGUUAGGUUGAGUUAGGUUGAGUUAGAAUAAGCUU
Molecule: non-coding RNA, 39 nt
Filed under: Trypanosoma brucei brucei
Lineage: Eukaryota; Euglenozoa; Kinetoplastea; Trypanosomatida; Trypanosomatidae
Source: RNAcentral